CUGAAGUGUCCAGAGUCAGCAAAAUCUUUUAUUUCUGCCAGAUAAACAAGCUUUCUCUUGCCCUUCUGUGUCUUUCCUGUUUGUUUGUCACGCACUUCCUCCUCCCGUCUGAUUUCUCGACUCUCUCCCUUUAGUUCCACACGUUGAUUCACUGUCGGAGGUUGUGCUAAGUCGAGCAGAGCAGGUUCGGUUAUGGGAAAAGUCCUUGGCAAAGCCGGAACAACUUGUUUGUUUUUGCCUCCCUGUUCUGCAUUUUUGGUACAGACGUCUCUGAGGGAGCUGGGAUUGCUGUUGUGGCUGCUUAGAGCCCAGUAAGACCAGCACCGGAAGCUAAACGCCCGAUCCUCUGCAGCAUUUCCCCUUUGCUUCUAUCAGCCUUCGCUGGGGGAGAGAGACAAGGGAGUCAACUGUGAAUCAUCUAGCCAGAUAUUGGUAAGAGAACUCAACUGCCCAUUCAACACUGGCAAGAACUUUGAGUACAGCUGAGAACAUAGCAAGGCCCUAAUCACAAACCUGUGCUCAAUCAGGAGCUGCUAUCUGGAUAAUAUUCUGGCUGUGAAAGUUCUUCAAGACUCGGAGAAUUCUGAUACCGUGAAAACACACUCACUGAUGGGCUCCUGAAAAGAAAGUCAGAAGAUACAGAGACUGUUUCGAAGAUAAACAGCACCUGCUAUUGAGCAUAUAGAAGCUGGAAUGCUGAAAACAUUUACCAAGCCUCCUGAACUGGCAAGGAGAUUAAAGAUAAGAAACUGAUUUCUGAAAUCUCUGUCUUGCUUUAAUAGAUCUAUUAAAUGAAUGUUCACCUCUAUCAAGAGUCUUAAUAAAUUGAAACAAGUCAGUAAUCAAGCCUAACAACCAUAAGGGGAAUGAACCUGUAGUACAAGGUUGACUGUUCCAGAUGUUGCAAAUCACCCCAAUUUGUCAUUUCUGACAUUCAGAGCUGGAACGUGACCACUUUCUUGUGUUAUGUUGUACCACUGGAGAUUGCAUGAUGGAUUGAGAUCACUGUCAUGUAGGUUAGUUUUCAAGGAUGAAAAAAAAAAAUUCCACACAACUCAAGACAAAUGUAAUCAUACUGUCUGUCAACAGUAAUCUCCUUGGUAAUAUCACUUAUCGGAUAAUAACUGCAAGUGUUAAAGUCAUCAUUGCCCAUUGCCCUCACAAUUACCAAGCAGUUGCAUACGGGUGACCAUAAUAUUAUUCCUGCUGCUGUUAAGACAGGAAAUGAGGGGUGGUAAAAUGAAGAGAAACAUCGCUAAAUGUCAUAAGGCUGUUGUAUUGUUUCACAAGCUGUAUUGAAAUUAGAGAUGAAGAAUAGUCUGUCAUUCUAAAAAAAAAAAAAAAAAUUGAAAUACA
Podarcis muralis (Common wall lizard) is the source of this 1356-nucleotide non-coding RNA. NCBI's taxonomy places the organism in Eukaryota, Metazoa, Chordata, Lepidosauria, Squamata, Lacertidae. The record is from RefSeq and is a predicted model, not a curated record.